UUGGUUAUUACAUUAAUAAUGAGGAGCUGAAGGAGAGGGAAAUGAGGGACUGUAAGGGUUUUGAAGGCUUCUGAUACCAAGUCCUGCCCAUGCAUGGAUAAUCUACUCUUCAUAGAAGUUACCAGGGUAUGGUUUCUCCUCGACUUUUUCCUGGACGAUAGCAAUUGGCAGCAGAUCCGCGUCGCCAGUUGGCCCUUGAGAGCGUGAGGCAGUUAGUGAAUGAAGAACAUUGGCGCUGUGAGCAAAGCACCAG
This is a non-coding RNA of Pelodiscus sinensis (Chinese soft-shelled turtle), 253 nucleotides long. The record is from RefSeq and is a predicted model, not a curated record. Lineage: Eukaryota; Metazoa; Chordata; Testudines; Trionychidae.